UCCACUCCGAUGGCGUCAAUAUCCACGCCAC
Molecule: small RNA, 31 nt
Filed under: Bombyx mori (domestic silkworm)
Lineage: Eukaryota; Metazoa; Arthropoda; Insecta; Lepidoptera; Bombycidae
Description: ovarian small RNA-3302
Source: RNAcentral